GGGGAAUCUUGCGCAAUGGGCGAAAGCCUGACGCAGCAACGCCGCGUGCGGGAUGACGGCCUUCGUGGUUGUAAACCGCUUUCAGCAGGGACGAAAAUGACGGUACCUGCAGAAGAAGCCCCGGCUAACUACGUGCCAGCAGCCGCGGUAAUACGUAGGGGGCGAGCGUUGUCCGGAAUCAUUGGGCGUAAAGAGCUCGUAGGCGGUUCAGUAAGUCGGGUGUGAAAGCUCCGAGCUCAACUCGGAGAGGCCACCCGAUACUGCUGUGACUAGAAUCCAGUAGGGGAGCGUGGAACUCCUGGUGUAGCGGUGAAAUGCGCAGAUAUCAGGAAGAACACCAGCGGCGAAGGCGGCGCUCUGGGCUGGAAUUGACGCUGAGGAGCGAAAGUGUGGGUAGCAAAC
RNAcentral lists this ribosomal RNA (402 nucleotides) under uncultured bacterium. Its description in RNAcentral is "bacterial SSU rRNA". It matches the Rfam family "Bacterial small subunit ribosomal RNA", at positions 356 to 773 of the family's 1533-position model. The record is from RNAcentral.